UACGUAUGGGGCAAGCGUUAUCCGGAAUUAUUGGGCGUAAAGAGUGCGUAGGUGGUUACCUAAGCGCAAGGUUUAAUCUUGAGGCUCAACCUCAUUCUGCCUUGCGAACUGGGCUACUUGAGUGCAGGAGGGGAAGGCGGAAUUCCCGGUGUAGCGGUGGAAUGCGCAGAUAUCGGGAAGAACACCGAUGGCGAAGGCGGCUUUCUGGCCUGCACCUGACGCUGAGAGGCGAAAGCUAGGGUAGCAAACGGGCUUAGAUACCCCCGUAGUCCCUGA
This 276-nucleotide ribosomal RNA is filed under the name uncultured prokaryote. Its description in RNAcentral is "partial 16S ribosomal RNA". It matches the Rfam family "Bacterial small subunit ribosomal RNA", at positions 524 to 800 of the family's 1533-position model. The record is from RNAcentral.